CUGAAUCAACAGACAGUGGAUGUGACUGGAAACGUGGGACAGUCUGUCCUUCUGCCCUGCUCCUGCUCUGAACUACAAGCCAAACCACACACUUUCAGAUGGAGCUUUUAUAAAGGAUCAGAUCACACAAAGAUCUUCCCAAAGGACCAGACAAAUCGCUACACAGGCAGAGUUCAGCUCUUUAAUGAUCAUCCUCCAGGAAAUCUCUCUCUACUCAUAUCACCCCUGACUGUAGAGGAUGGAGGAUGGUACAGGUGUGAUCAACAAAAAAAUCAGUAAAGACAUUCGACUCACAGUAAAAGGUGCACCAACAAGACCUUCAUCAUCCACACCAGUGAUCACAACAACUUCACCUCCUUCCAGUCCAGACACCACCCUCAUCAUCUGUACUGCUGUUGGGGUUCUGCUGCUGCUGCUGAUACUCGGAGGAGUCAUCUACUGGAAACACAGAGGUACACACACACAAACUUUUCUGAAUUUCACUCUGUCUGGUUUCAUUCUGUAGGACAGAGACGAGGACAGACAGGGAAUGAUGAUGGACAAACAGGACAACAGAAGAAGCAGAAUGAUUGUUCUGUACACCGCCAUAAAUCCACAAACUAUACACAACAAAGCAGAAAAGAUUCCACGAUUUCUGCUCAGAUCUCAGCGUGUCUGGCAGACAUAUAAUAUCAUGAAUGAUGGCUCAUCAGCUGAAAAUCAAUCUGAACAAAACUGAACUGCUAGUCAUCCCAGGAGAUGCAUCCCCAGGUCAGCUGUCCAUUUUCUUGCAUGUUGCUAAUGUCAAGUCAAGACAAAGUCAAAGAAGCUUUGUCACUUCAACCAUAGAUAGCUUAUGCAAUACACAGUGAAGUGAAACAUUCCUCCUGGACCAGAGUUGCUACACCGAACAAAAAGAAAAGUACAGGUGACACGGACAAAGACAGAGCUUAACUAUACUACAAUGUGUAUUAUUUAGAAACUAAACAUACAACAUGGAUGACAAGACAGACAAACAAGACACAUUACGUCAACCUUUGUGCAAAAAACAGUGUUGGGCAGUGGGUGCAAAGUAGGAUAGGAACAGGUUUAGGACAGUGACAAUAGCAGCAGAAGUAACAAAAGUAAUUUAGUUAUAACAGAGGAUUUAAUUAAAGUGACAUGUGUAUUUAAAUAUUUAAAGUAAACAGAUAUGAAUAUUUAAAUUGACGGGUACAUGUAAACAUGAUCAAUGUAAAAGUGAUGUAUGCAUGUAAACAAGACAAAUUUUGUGUGUGUGUAAGUGUGUGUGUCCAGCUCAGUUCAGUUCUUUGUUGAGACCAGCUGUCUGUUGGGUGUGUGUGUCCAGUUCAGUUCUCUGUUGAGAACAGUUCUCAGUUGUGUGUGUGUGUGUGUGUGUGUGUGUGUGUGUGUGUGUGUGCGUCCAUGUCCAACUCAGUUCAGUUCUCUAUUGAGAUACCUGAUUGCCUGAGGGAAGAAGCUGUUCAACAGUCUGGUUGUGCGGGUCCAAAUGCUUCGGUACCUCUUUCCGGAUUGCAGAAAGGUGAAGAGUGUGUGUGAGGGGUGUGUGGGGUCAUCCACAAUGCUGUUUGCUUUACGAAUGCAGUGUGUAAAUUUCCAUAAUAGAGGGAAUAGAGACUUCGAUGAUCUUUUCAGCUGACUUCACUAUCCGCUGAAGGGUCUUGCGAUCCGAGAUGGUGCAGUUCCCAAACCAGGCAGUGAUGCAGCUACUCAGGAUGCUCUCUACUCUGUAGAAGGUGGUCAGGAUGGGAGGUGGAAGAUGAGCCUUCCUCAGCCUUCACAGGAAGUAGAGACACUUCUGGGCUUUCUUAGUGAUGGAGCUGGUGUUGAGUGACCAGAUGAGGUCCUCUGCCAGGUGAACACCAAGGAAUUUGGUACUCUUGAUGAUCUCCACGUUGGACCCAUCAAUGUUCAGUGGAGAAUGGUCACUCUGUGUUCUCCUGAAGCCAACCAUCAUCUUUCAUUUUCUUCACAUUCAGAGACAGGUUGUUGGCUUUACACUAGGCUGUUAGCUGCUGCCCCUCCUCUCUGUACGUACUUGAUAUGGUUGGAGCUGUGCAUUGCUGCACAGUCAUGAGUCAGCAGAGUGAACAGCAGUGGACUGAGUACACAGCCCUGAGGAUGCUCAAUGUGGUGGUGCUGGAGAUGCUGUUCCUUAUCCGGACUUGCUGAGGUCUUCCAGUCAAAGUCUAGGAUCCAGUUGCAGAGGAGGUGUUGGUGCCCAGCAGGCUCGGUUUCUCCAUCAGGUGCUGAGGAAUGAUUGUGUUGAAUGCUGAGCUCAAGUCUAUGAACAGCAUUCGUAUUUAACUGUCUUUAUUAUCCAGGUGUGUAAGGGCCGGAUGCAGGGUUGUGCUGAUGGCAUCGUCUGUGGAGCGAUUUGGAUGAUACACAAACCCCAUGGGGUCUAGUGAUGGAGGCAGAAGGUUCUUGAUGUGCCUCAUGACAAGAUGCACAUAGUGAUGGGUGUGAGUGCAACGGGAUGGUAGUCAUUGAGACAGGACACUGGAGACUUCUUCGGCACGGGGAUGAUGGUGAUGGACUUUAGGCACGUUGGGACGACGGCGCUGCUCAGGAAGAUGUUGAAGAUGUCUGUGAAGACAUCCGCUAGCUGUUCUGCACAUUCCCUGAGCACUCUUACAGGAAUGUUGUCUGGCCCAGCAGCUUUCCGUGGGUUAACUCUGUGUAGAGUUUUCAUCAUGUCGGCCGUGGUGAGACAGAGCACCUGGUCCUCUGGAGGAGGGAUGGUCUCCCUCACUGUCAUGUCAUUUCAUGCCUCAAACCAAGCGUAGAAGCUGUUCAGUGCAUCUGGAAGGGAGGCAUCACUGUCACAGGCUGGUGGAGCCGGCCUGUAGUUGGUGAUGGACUGGAUGCCUUGCCACAUGUGCCGAGUGU
Hemibagrus wyckioides is the source of this 2892-nucleotide long non-coding RNA. RefSeq lists it as uncharacterized. The record is from RefSeq and is a predicted model, not a curated record. The transcript is spliced from 5 exons. NCBI's taxonomy places the organism in Eukaryota, Metazoa, Chordata, Actinopteri, Siluriformes, Bagridae.